RNAcentral lists this small nuclear RNA (120 nucleotides) under Globisporangium ultimum DAOM BR144. Its description in RNAcentral is "snRNA EPrPULG00000000062". It matches the Rfam family "U5 spliceosomal RNA". Rfam says of the family: U5 RNA is a component of both types of known spliceosome. The precise function of this molecule is unknown, though it is known that the 5' loop is required for splice site selection and p220 binding, and that both the 3' stem-loop and the Sm site are important for Sm protein binding and cap methylation. The record is from Rfam by way of RNAcentral. Lineage: Eukaryota; Oomycota; Peronosporomycetes; Pythiales; Pythiaceae.
UCCCACAGAGUUGAUUUCAUCUCGUAUUAAUCUUUCGCCUUUUACUAAAGAUUACCGUGGAAUCGACUCAACUAAAUGUGGCUUCAACCAAUUUCUGGACCCUCCCUUUGGGAGGGAGCU